GCGAAAGCAAAAUGCCUGUGAGAGUUGUGGAGACUUCUUCUGCACUUUCGCAGCCUUCAGGUGGAACUUCAGGAAAUACUUUGCCUUCAGUCUGUACACUUCUAAGUGUUGGACAGGCAUUUUCUGGAACUCAGAACGUUUCGAGUCAGCAAAAAGAUGAAGCUUGGAGAGUAAAUGUGCGUAUUCAGGGUUGUGACCUUGAUCAUGGAUAUCUAUGUGGUACAAUGGAAGCUCUUAAUGUCCCUAUGGCAGAUACACCAGUAGUUACUUUCUGGGAAGGAGAAAUUGUUGAUACAAAGAAUUAUACUUUCUUCACUGGCAAAUGGGGCGCCACAUCAGAAGAUGACAUAAAGCACUGGACCAAGUUCCCGUCAUUUUCACCCCUUCUGGUAAGCAGUCAAAGCUUCUUUUUUAAAUGCAGAUACUCAGCCUUCUUGAUCUUUUCUGCCCUUUUCAGAGCCAAGUGGACGUCGAUGGUGGUAAAUCACUGGACCUGAAUAACUACCCAUACAUAUUCAUGAGAUGGAAAGAACAAUACUUCGUGAAUGUUGGAACAGACUGUGGGUUGACAAUUGCGGGUUUUUAUUAUGUUUGCUUCUCCAG
This 603-nucleotide unclassified non-coding RNA is filed under the name Hevea brasiliensis (rubber tree). Lineage: Eukaryota; Viridiplantae; Streptophyta; Magnoliopsida; Malpighiales; Euphorbiaceae. The record is from RNAcentral.